Molecule: long non-coding RNA, 796 nt
Organism: Lotus japonicus
Lineage: Eukaryota; Viridiplantae; Streptophyta; Magnoliopsida; Fabales; Fabaceae
Exons: 3
Source: RefSeq, a predicted model, not a curated record
CCCCACCCCUUCUUUGAUUUUGGCCCCAGUCUAAAAUUUCUGAUUUCGUCAAUAUCUUGUAUGAGAGAUAUGAAGGGGAAAGAAUGAACAAUAUCCUCUAGAGUCUCAAAACGGAGCUGAACCCAAAUCCCUGCUUUGGAGAGUUUCAAUAAUUCAGAGAAGCAAUGCAAAAUUUAUCUUGGUCUAUUUGGCUUUUAAGCAUAAUCAAUGAUGUUUUCUUGUCUCUCGUUUUUCUAAUGGGUUCGCCUACGCCGCUGAUGACACCUAUUUUCUUUGCCAACUCAUCAACUCUCGCCGAAUUGCUUGAAUCUAAUUAGGAUUGGAGAAUGAACAUUGAUUCCUCGAUGGAGCUGGAAACUGAUCACAAACCCGCGAUGCAGUUUGGGAGUGCCACACAAGUUAAAUUGAAGCAUCGAUCCCUCUCUUUGUGCUUUCUCCCCUUGAAAGUGUAACAGCAGAUGCUGAAGUAAACAAGUUGAAGUAUACAGACCCGAAUUUCUUUACCCAAAAUUCAUUGAGUUUGAGGGCAUUGCUGAUAUUACAAAUAAUUGCUUUGAGAACAAGGUUUCAUUCAAGACUAUGUUUUGUACAUUGGUGCCUAGCUAGCUCAAAUCUCUUCUAUUUAUAAUAACUAGAUAGUGUUCUUCUCACACUGGAAUAUUAAUUUAUAUAGAUAAGAAAUCCAUCAUGAUUUAUAUAACAUCAAUCACGGUGCUGUCUAAUCACCUAUAGAAGUAAGUUUGCCCCAAAGUUAUCUAAGAUGAUAUGGAGAUUGUUGUAAAGUCAUCCACAUUAA